AGGUUUCCGGCGGACCAUCGGAGAGUGACGGUUCCGGUGAACAUAGACCAAAAUGCCAAUAGAAUAAUGGCAGCCAAGGCCCAGAACUUGUACCUGCCUUUCCCAAAUAGAGAUGAAUCUGAGGUGUCCUUCUUCACAUAGCCUGUCGCCGUCGUGGCUGUCGAUGUAGGAAGAGAAUCGUCAUCCUUCAUCUCUACUUUUGCUUCGAUCGGAUUUCUUCGUUCUGCAGUUUUCUCUCUGGUUGAAUUAAAUGGAUCAGUGACUGGAAACUAGGAAGAAUAAUAAUGAAAUGCAAGUCUGUCGGUAUCGGAGUCAGAUCGAUUGCUCUCCAACUUUUCCCGUCAUUUAAUAUUUGGGGGGGUCAGAUGUCGGUGACGGUGGAUUACUU
Molecule: long non-coding RNA, 388 nt
Filed under: Linum usitatissimum (flax)
Lineage: Eukaryota; Viridiplantae; Streptophyta; Magnoliopsida; Malpighiales; Linaceae
Description: long non-coding RNA (LUSI_LNC002253)
Source: RNAcentral